CCUACGGGUGGCAGCAGUGGGGGAUAUUGCACAAUGGGGGAAACCCUGAUGCAGCGACGCCGCGUGUGGGAAGACGGUCCUCUGGAUUGUAAACCACUGUCCCCAGGGACGAAAGUGACGGUACCUGGGGAGGAAGCUCCGGCUAACUACGUGCAAGCAGCCGCGGUAGUACGUAGGGGGCGAGGGUUGUCGGGAAUUACUGGGUGUAAAGGGAGCGUAGGCGGGACUGAAGGUUGGGUGUCAAAUCUACGGGCUCAACCGGUAGCCGCAGGCAAAACUGGAGGUCUUGAGUGAAGUAGAGGCAGGCGGAAUUCGUGGUGUAGCGGUGAAAUGCGUAGAUAUUAGGAGGAACUCCGGUGGCGAAGGCAGCCUGCUGGGCUUUUACUGACGCUGAGGCUCGAAAGUGUGGGGAGCAAACAGGAUUAGAUACCCCAGUAGUC
RNAcentral lists this ribosomal RNA (440 nucleotides) under uncultured bacterium. Its description in RNAcentral is "partial 16S ribosomal RNA". It matches the Rfam family "Bacterial small subunit ribosomal RNA", at positions 338 to 795 of the family's 1533-position model. The record is from RNAcentral.